CCCUCUUCACCAGAUGGGAGAAGGAAAAGAAAUGACAAAGGUGAGCUAGAGAAGACGAACGACCGUCGUAGUUUCCGGAGAGCGCAAACCGGCAAAAUUAAACCAAACCUCUCCCUCUCGUUUUAAUAUUACUAUCAAUCUCCCCUUGAUGUAGAGAAGGCAUGUCCAUAGGUUGGAGUUUCUUUUUCGUCAAGCAAUUGAGAAAAUCCACGAGAGGGAAUGCUCUACAGGAUUUGUGAAGAAAGCUAGCCGAAAUUUUGGUCCAAAGGCGGAGAUAUAAGAGUCCUUCCAAGAACGGAGUAGAGAGAGACGGAUUCGACAAGCCACAUGUCGAUCGGCGAGUGGAACUGUGUGUACCAUCAGGUGGAGGACAUGCAUUAGGCGUCGGGUGGAGCCAUGCGUCGAAUGUCGCAUGGACCAUCACAACUCCACUCGAUUUGCAACAUGCGGCUUCUAUCGUAAUUCCGACCUGCAACCCGUUGGCACAACCAACCUGCGGUCCGACCCAAGUGAAUCGAACCAGCUGACCCGGCAUUUACAAAAUCGACCCGACCGCGCGCAAGAGCCCAACUCCACAGCUCGCGGCUCAGUGGCGUAUACAACCCAACUCAUAGACGCCCGCAACCUGCGCAACCCGAGGACGUGACCCGAAGUCCGCACCUCGACCCAGGACACACCUGGCAUACUCUCAUCUCUCUAGCGACACUGUUGUGCAUGCAGAUGUCAACUCCUUCGGUUCACACGGCUCGUCAACUCGACUUGGCUCCGUGGUGGCUCGACGCAACUUAUCGGCUGAAAACUCGGUUAUUCGGCUUACAUUACACAAUUUUAUACCAUUCCUUAUGUUUUCAACUCCAAAGCUGAAGUUGACCUUAAUUAAGGCAAUUGAGAUCAGUAUAGCGUCUUGUUUCCAAGUUUAAGGUGACUUAGGCUAGAAAUGUGAGAUAUUAACGUAAAUAAGAUGAACAUUCAAAUAGGACACAACUUCCAACAAAUACUUGGAGCAGCUUCGAGGGACGGAAUUCAACCAACCAACUCUCUGUGUGCGCGUACGUGUGUAAUAAGAUGUUUUUAAUUUAAAUGUU
Molecule: long non-coding RNA, 1085 nt
Organism: Cucurbita moschata (crookneck pumpkin)
Lineage: Eukaryota; Viridiplantae; Streptophyta; Magnoliopsida; Cucurbitales; Cucurbitaceae
Exons: 3
Source: RefSeq, a predicted model, not a curated record